CUUCGAGAGGAAAUAUAUUGUCUGUUGUUUUAGUAAUUUGAAGUUUCUUGGACUAAAAUCAAAUAGGAGGACGAGCAACACUGGCUAAUGAUGUCUUUGAGGGCGCAGCUGGUUUCCAUGGUGCUGUGUUGUGUUUAUGGACUGGCGUCUCUUUUCUGUUUACGUCCAAACCGCAACAACUGGAUCUCUGUGGGAGGGAGGAGUCUGUCCUCCAUAUUGCAGCACAUUUCUCAGAGAUUCUUUGGAUUGCUCCGAACAUCUCUAUGAUCCACAGAAAACACGAGAGUUGAAGCUUCGUGCUUUCAAUGUGCCACUCCCUCCUGAAGCCAGCAGAGGGAGACAGACACUGAAUCUGAGGCAAGAGACGUGUCUUUAUUUUGUGGUAUUGUAAACUAUUGGAAUGUUACAUUAAAAUACAAACCCUUAAAAAGUAUUAAAGCACUGUAUUGCAUGUAUAAUUUAA
Periophthalmus magnuspinnatus is the source of this 463-nucleotide long non-coding RNA. RefSeq lists it as uncharacterized. The transcript is spliced from 3 exons. The record is from RefSeq and is a predicted model, not a curated record. NCBI's taxonomy places the organism in Eukaryota, Metazoa, Chordata, Actinopteri, Gobiiformes, Gobiidae.